GACGUUUUCGAAGUCAGCCUUACUUUCAGAUCUCAGUUGCAUAACAAAAAACUUACUCCUCAAAUCUUUUCGCGAAAGUCUGUUCAGGGUGACAAAUACUUUAUAGCAGGACUUAGAAGCAUAGCAGCAAAGAAUACUCAAUACUCCAGAGGAUGUAAAAACAUAAUGGAAGCAUACGUAUACCAUAGUACGUACAAUGCAACACGACGCGCAAGACCAGUUCCUAUAGUACUCAUCAAGGAUUCAUCAACCUACAAGGAAUAUGUUCAACAAGCAACAAUAAACAACGGCAAGCAAGGUCAACAACUCCAACAGCAAGAACAACGAUUCAAUAUUUUCCGAAAUCCCUUAAACCAUUUUAGGAAACGAAAUCGAGAAGAUUAAUUUUAUCCAGCAACGAUUGAAAGACAGGAAACUGAACUAAAUCACCAGACACAAGUGCAAUAAUGAUUCCCUCUACAAUGAACCAUUAACUAAUGAACACAGCCGUCAGGAACCGGAUGGCAAUCCAGUAUAUUUAUUAAUAGAGACAGGGUUUAAAGAAAAUUAUGUAAGUACUAAGUAUCCAUAUGCUAAGAAAAUUAAAUUAUCCAAACAAUUAAACACAAAAACUUUGCAUGGGAAUGCAAUAAUUACCCUUAAAAAAGAGAUCAAUUAAUUAGGGUUUGAUAUGGAUAUCUUGGAGCUAGAUAAACUCUAGGAUUAUAAUUUCAUAAUAGGCAUUUAAGGAUUAAACUAAAUGUAAGCAGAUAUCAACAUUUUCGACUACUCCAUUAGCUUCUUCCAAAUAAAACCUAAUCUACACUGUAAGAAAACAAGAAUAUGAAGAUAUUAAAACUCUAAUGCAAAAUAAUCAUAAUAAUGAACUAUUACCAUAUGUUACAACCAUAGAAACAAAAAUUAGGACCGAAACAAAGGAACCGGUAUGGGUAAGACAAUAUCCCUAUCCACAGACUGAGAGAGGAUUCGUAGAAGAGGGAAUUAAUAAAUAAUAAAAAAUAAAAUAAUACUAGCAAAAGCCCAUAUAAUUCCCCUAUUUGGACAGUCUCAAAGAAAGGAACCGAUGAGGCAAAAAAAUCAAAAAGAAAAAUUCAGAAACUGAAUAAAGUCACCGAAAACUAGAUAAUAAAAGAGAAUUCCACAAAAUACUAGAAGAAGUUCUCACUUAUGUUUACUCAUUUUUAACUCAACUCAUGAGUGACAAUGAGUCAAUAUUUAAAAGCAUAGCGUCAAAAGCACUGUACGAAAAACUACAUAUGUAUAUAGCAUACAGAGAAAUGUAGUAGAUCAACUUUUUGUGAAAAAGUAUUUGUAACGGAAAACAUUAAUGAAAACUUUCAAGAACCACCUCAGAGGUUGCAAUGUAGGCGCGCUAUCGAUCUUUUUUGGGUGUUCGGUUCCCCAGGAGGCCUAUUUUCACCCUUUUUAUAUAUACAGUUUUAAAUCAAUCUACUUAUUAUAAAAAAUAUGACUAGACAAAAAUAAAUAUAUAAAAUCAGGUACAAUUCAUGAAUAUUAAUUACAUUAAAAAUAUAACAUUAACAAUAUAUGUCAAAACAAUCAACUGGAAACUCUUUAAACAAAAGCCAAAAUAAAUAUAAAAAAAAUCAGAUUCCAUUGUAUGUAUACAUUAACAAUACAAGUCAAAACAAUCAACUUGUAAUUAUUAAGCAGAAACUAAAAUAAAUAUAAAAAAUCAGGUACAAUUCAGGAACAACAACAGUUAUAUUCAAAACAAUCUACUAAGUAAUAAAUAAUAUUUACAAAAUAUUCUAAAUCACCCACAGCGAAAUACUUAUUAAAAACCCUAUCAAAGGAAUAGUGGUGGAAAGAAGGGUCCUAUAUCCUAUCUACGUCCACAUUUACCUCGAUUUGUAUAUUUUGAAAUGAGGUAGAAUUGGAAUUUGAAAAGUUUGCCAAGAGGUAUUUUGAACCAAAGCGUCGUUGCAGGCGCUUUUGAGGGAGCUAUUAGAAAAUGACUCACACUGGUCAACUGGCAAGAGUUCUACACAACGAAUAUAUCCUAUACCCCAGGCUUGUCUGAAAAGAGAUGAGAAACGCUGCGGAGUUAUUAUCACAUCUCACUGGGCGCCCAUUUACAACUACUUUAUUUUUUUUUUAUUUUCUAAGCAGUUUCGUGUACUUUUUAAAAUGUGAGGAGAAUCAAAGAAGUAAAUGACUUCCGAGUCAUUCACUUCGAAAUAGGGCCUUUCUUUACAUACUCCUUAUAACCUAGCAAAAUUAACAAAAUUUGACCAUUGGUUGCUAACUAUUUGGCAGGGACGCAAUCCAAUACCCUGGAGUUGACCUAUGGCUUCGAAUAUAUUUUUUUUCAUAAUAUCUCCUUUGCAAGCUUUGUGCACAAAAAAAUAUGCUAAAGGUGGGUCCAAGUUUCUCCACCAAUACCUUGAACGAAAAGUGUUAAAACACUAGAAGCUCCUCGAGAGGUACGAUUUUCAUCACCGUAAUCCUCCAACCCAAUAAUCCAGUCCCUAUUUCUCUCAUACUGAAGGUGAAUUUUCAGAGACAUUUCGUCACAGCAUAUCGAAACAUAUCUCUGUGCGUCAGUGAAACCACGGCUUCUCAAUUCCAGGGCUUUAAUGCUGCUAAAAUUGCAGCCAGCGAUACGUGGCCAACCCUGAACAAAUUCUUCGAGGGUCACUUGCGAUGGCCAAUUAAAAAUGGGCUGUAAAUACCUGAACGCAAUAGGUGAUAAAAAUUUUACAUCCAGAGCUAAUGUUUUUAAUUCCCUAUCAUAUCUAUAACGCUUCGAAGUACGGGGUGCAUUUUUUAAACAAUUUCUCACACAUAUCGCAAGAUGUGAAGGAAGUUUGCCGCAUAGCUCUGAAAUUUAUCUAUUUUCUUCCUGCCCUACUAUAGACAAAUUUUUAUUAUUUUCUAAAAUUUCUAUUUUAUUCUCUAAAGCUCUCACCUUAUUGCGUAAAAAUUUUAUUUCCUGCGAUUUUUUGUCUAACUUCUCCCGAUACAUUCUUUUUCUAGGUGUCCCUUCUGUUAAAUAUUCAUCUGCUUGCGUUUGCCUACUAUUUGCCCAAGUGUUAACUAUUUGAGAGUUACCUAAAGAGGAAGAAUAUGUAUGAUCUUCAUUAUAUAGGGGUUGAAGGGAUUUACCCAAAGUCUCAACUUCAAACAUAUUAGUGUUUGAAGUCGAGACAGUUCUAAUUGGAGAAGAGCUAAGAUGCAUCGGGUUAAAAUCUGCACUACCUAAUUCUAUAAUGUCUUGUUCGUGUUGGUCAAAUACACUACCUACUUGUCCACUACAACCUAUUGCCUUAUCUACUCUAGCUGAUCUGGAGAUAAGCCGUCCCUUCCUCAUCUUUAAAGAGAAAUGUCUUUGGCACGCAAAUAAAUAUUUAGCCGUCGGAUUUGUUACGUCCAACAGCUUGAUCCAUUCGUGCCGCCUAGUUGAAAUUAAACAAAAAAUACGUACAUUAACUAAACUAGUAAACUAACAAUUUAAAAAUAAACAGUUGCAUCAAAAAUAUCACAACGACAAUACAAUAUUAGAAACAAAACUAUUAAUUUAAUCUUUGAUUUAUAUGAUUUAUGCUUUUGAAUGAACUAUAUGAAAGAAUUAUAAUAACUAUUAUAAUUUAAAGAGUCGGUUAAACAUCUGCAUACAGUUUCUAAUAGUUUGGCGGGGUACUAGUUAUGACGUAUAUAUAUAGUUACAAUAAAAUAGUAGUAGUAUUUAUACACGCAUGUUUGUAAAAUAAAUAUGAAUUCAUUAUAACGUUGAGAACAAAUAAAUUGGUUGUCUCUAUUUCUAUUACGUUUAUAUUUAUCAUAUAUACAUAUGUAUGUAAAGCAAGUGGCUUCAUAUUGUUCGAGAUCGAAAAAAUAAAAACACGCGGGUUAAUAUAAACAAAUA
This 3889-nucleotide long non-coding RNA is filed under the name Bactrocera tryoni. Its description in RNAcentral is "uncharacterized LOC120781668". Lineage: Eukaryota; Metazoa; Arthropoda; Insecta; Diptera; Tephritidae. The record is from RNAcentral.